GAAAAUCUUCAAAUUAUUGGGGGAAACUUGUGAAUUAAGGGGGCAUAUGUAUCUAUUAUGUGUUAAAAAGGAUUGCAUAUUGAUUUCUAUUGAAAGAUGGAAGCUACGAAUAAAUCUUUAGGGCAUGCUAUGACUGUGACAUGAAAUUCCAGGGACUUUGUAUGAUUUUGUAACACGUGAUUGGACUAUCAAAUAGUGUCAGAAUUGCCUCAAAUUAUAAUCAUUAGAAAGGUCUAUGAGUCUAUUUUAAUCUUCAGUUUUGGGUCCAACUGAAAGUUUGAAUAAUUUGAAAGUUAUACUUCACUUUAUGCACCUAUGUCACUGUUGACAGACUGUGUAAAUUUUCAGAAAUAUCACUCUAGUUAUACUAAGGUUUCGUUUGACCAAAUGCAGUCCAAAUAACUCAUAAC
This 410-nucleotide long non-coding RNA is filed under the name Amborella trichopoda. RNAcentral's name for it is "long non-coding RNA (ATRI_LNC001099)". Lineage: Eukaryota; Viridiplantae; Streptophyta; Magnoliopsida; Amborellales; Amborellaceae. The record is from RNAcentral.